GACGAACGCUGGCGGCGUGCCUAAUACAUGCAAGUUGAGCGAUGAAGAUUGGUGCUUGCACCAAUUUGAAGAGCAGCGAACGGGUGAGUAACGCGUGGGGAAUCUGCCUUUGAGCGGGGGACAACAUUUGGAAACGAAUGCUAAUACCGCAUAACAACUUUAAACAUAAGUUUUAAGUUUGAAAGAUGCAAUUGCAUCACUCAAAGAUGAUCCCGCGUUGUAUUAGCUAGUUGGUGAGGUAAAGGCUCACCAAGGCGAUGAUACAUAGCCGACCUGAGAGGGUGAUCGGCCACAUUGGGACUGAGACACGGCCCAAACUCCUACGGGAGGCAGCAGGAGGGAAUCUUCGGCAAUGGACGAAAGUCUGACCGAGCAACGCCGCGGGAGUGAAGAAGGUUUUCGGAUCGUAAAACUCUGUUGGUAGAGAAGAACGUUGGUGAGAGUGGAAAGCUCAUCAAGUGACGGUAACUACCCAGAAAGGGACGGCUAACUACGUG
RNAcentral lists this ribosomal RNA (497 nucleotides) under uncultured bacterium. RNAcentral's name for it is "partial 16S ribosomal RNA". It matches the Rfam family "Bacterial small subunit ribosomal RNA", at positions 28 to 507 of the family's 1533-position model. The record is from RNAcentral.